Molecule: transfer RNA, 76 nt
Filed under: Streptomyces atratus
Lineage: Bacteria; Bacillati; Actinomycetota; Actinomycetes; Kitasatosporales; Streptomycetaceae
Description: tRNA-Arg
Source: RNAcentral
CCACGCACUGCGGGAGGUGCUGCGCGAGGGCUUCGAGUCCCCGUACGCCCGCUGGUUCGACAUCGACUGGGCGGCC